GACGAACGCUGGCGGCGUGCCUAAUACAUGCAAGUAGAACGCUGAAGGAGGAGCUUGCUUCUCUGGAUGAGUUGCGAACGGGUGAGUAACGCGUAGGUAACCUGCCUGGUAGCGGGGGAUAACUAUUGGAAACGAUAGCUAAUACCGCAUAAGAGUAGAUGUUGCAUGACAUUUGCUUAAAAGGUGCAAUUGCAUCACUACCAGCUGGACCUGCGUUGUAUUAGCUAGUUGGUGAGGUAACGGCUCACCAAGGCGACGAUACAUAGCCGACCUGAGAGGGGGAUCGGCCACACUGGGACGGAGACACGGCCCAGACGCCUACGGGAGGCAGCAGUAGGGAAUCUUCGGCAAUGGACGGAAGUCUGACCGAGAAACGCCGCGUGAGUGAAGAAGGUUUUCGGAUCGUAAAGCUCUGUUGUAAGAGAAGAACGCGUGUGAGAGUGGAAAGUUCACACUGUGACGGUAUCUUACCAGAAAGGGACGGCUAACUACGUG
This 495-nucleotide ribosomal RNA is filed under the name uncultured bacterium. RNAcentral's name for it is "partial 16S ribosomal RNA". It matches the Rfam family "Bacterial small subunit ribosomal RNA", at positions 28 to 507 of the family's 1533-position model. The record is from RNAcentral.